This 618-nucleotide long non-coding RNA is filed under the name Felis catus (domestic cat). Its description in RNAcentral is "lncRNA (ENSFCAG00000046022.2)". The record is from RNAcentral. Lineage: Eukaryota; Metazoa; Chordata; Mammalia; Carnivora; Felidae.
CAUCUCCCGGCGGCAACAUCAGGUGCUUUGACCUUGGUUCUUCUGUGAUUUUUUUCCAGUUGUUGAAGCACGUGUGGACGACUCACCAGGCCCUUGUCGGCGCAUCGGCAGACUGGAAACCCUGCUCGCCUUUUCCACGUGGACGAGUGUCCUCACGCCGGGGCCUGGCCAGGGGCUCGCUCCCCAUGUCUGAGGGCGCCGAGUCCCCGCUGUGGCCGCUGGCUCAGGGCCCAGCUGGGGUCCGACGGAGGGGGCGGCAGAGCAGGGCUGCAGGCAGGAGUGCUUCCUGGUGGCGAUGGUGAGGCGGCCUCCUGAGGACGCUGGUGAUGGGGCAGCGUCUCCCCUCCACUCUCCUCUCGUGCCUUCAUCGGUUUUCCAGGAUCUAAAGUUGAAGCAGUGGCCAGCCUUUCAAAGACAAGGACCUAUGUGGCUUCAUCCACGAUCUCACUACCACCAAAAACAUCUUGAGGAAAUCAUCACAAAAGGAAACAGGGGCAGUCCAAGUCAGACAUUAUUUGUCCCAAGGAGGAUGUGAAAACUCAGUAGAGAUUUAAGAUAAAGGCUUCACUGCAAAUCUUCACUGCACCACCAGAGCUCAGAGAGAAGCGUACACACGAC